This 1028-nucleotide long non-coding RNA is filed under the name Heterocephalus glaber (naked mole-rat). RNAcentral's name for it is "lncRNA (ENSHGLG00000035796.1)". The record is from RNAcentral. Lineage: Eukaryota; Metazoa; Chordata; Mammalia; Rodentia; Bathyergidae.
GUUCUGUGCAGCUGGGGCAGGUUGUGUUGCUAGGAGAACAAUGACUCUUGCUUCCAGCAAGAGAGGUGACUCUGGCAGCAUUACCAGGGGCACACAGGUGGGCGUUGCUUUUCAUUCCCCAGCAAGAACAGACUCCUCCCCAGAGGAGCCCAGCUGGCCAAGCUGACGGGUGGGCCCAGCACUGUCCCGCUCCAAGACCACCUUCUUCCUCCUGCAGCUGCCAUUCUGGCGAGACAGGACAUUAUCUGCUGCAGGAUUUGAAGCAAAACCUGUGGAAUAUUGCUCUGGGCCUGUUUUCUAAGAGAAUGCCCAGAGGAGUAUAAAUUCAAAUUCCCGCCAGAGAAGCCUCUGCUUCAGGAGUAGGUAGCAGAAAAAAUACUGUAUGUUUGUCACUCAGAUUUUAUUUCCCCCUUAUCUACCUGGAAAAGCCAAUUUCUGAACUUUGGCCACAGUAAGGUGGGGCCAUGGGACUGAGCUUCUGGCCUUGGGAAAGUGGGCUAAAGGACAGACCUGCCAUGCGAUCCUCCGUGCUCCCUGUCUGCCAGCUGGACACAGACGACUGGGGAGGGGGCAGAACUCCCUGGACCAUGAGAUGGUACAGUAGGGGGAUGGAGCCUGGAUGCCAAUGGCUUUGUGACAUGAACAGCCCUGCCCUGGACCCGUAUGGGUCUAUGAGUGAGAAGCCAGCCUUGUUUGAGUUGAGCUACUGGGCUACUGAGCAUAGGGCUGCUUUUAACAGGCUGCUUUGGUUAAUAAGGGCAUGCAUGAGGGGCGUGAUGAGAUCAUUUUCAAGGGUAGUGGGGGGUGAUGGUGGGAUUCGGCAGGGGUGUUUCCCUGAGGAGGUGGACAGGAGGCUCCUGGGCAGGAGUGGGGUGUAAUAUGUUACCAUAAACUGAGGAAAGGGAGCCAGUGUGUGUGCACAUGUACGUGUGUGUGUGUGUGUGUGUGUGUGUGGGGUCAGGCCAAACAGCUCUGUGCAGCCCUUUCUAAACUGAAAUUAAUGAAUAAAGGUUAAUUUUUUUGUGCAC